Molecule: ribosomal RNA, 254 nt
Filed under: uncultured bacterium
Lineage: Bacteria
Description: partial 16S ribosomal RNA
Rfam family: Bacterial small subunit ribosomal RNA
Source: RNAcentral
UACGUAGGGUGCGAGCGUUGUCCGGAAUUAUUGGGCGUAAAGAGCUCGUAGGCGGCUUGUUGCGUCGGCCGUGAAAACCUGCAGCUUAACUGUGGGCGUGCGGUCGAUACGGGCAUCACUGGAGUUCGGCAGGGGAGACUGGAAUUCCUGGUGUAGCGGUGAAAUGCGCAGAUAUCAGGAGGAACACCGGUGGCGAAGGCGGGUCUCUGGGCCGAUACUGACGCUGAGGAGCGAAAGCGUGGGGAGCGAACAGG